RNAcentral lists this ribosomal RNA (402 nucleotides) under uncultured Colpodella. Its description in RNAcentral is "partial small subunit ribosomal RNA". It matches the Rfam family "Eukaryotic small subunit ribosomal RNA", at positions 30 to 432 of the family's 1831-position model. Lineage: Eukaryota; Colpodellaceae. The record is from RNAcentral.
GCUUGUCUCAAAGAUUAAGCCAUGCAUGUCUAAGUAUAAACAACUUUAUACUGUGAAACUGCGUACAGCUCAUUAUAUCAGUUAUAAUUUAUUUGAUGGUGAUUUACUACAUGGAUAACCGUGGUAAUUCUAGAGCUAAUACAUGCGUAAGAUCCUGACUAACGAAGGGACGUAUUUAUUAGAUAAAGAACCAAUCCAUGCUUGCAUGGUUUUGUGGUGAUUCAUAAUAACUGAUCGAAUCGCAUGCCUUCGGGCGGCGAUGUAUCAUUCAAGUUUCUGACCUAUCAGCUUCCGACGGUAGGGUAUUGGCCUACCGUGGCAAUGACGGGUAACGGGGAAUUAGGGUUCGAUUCCGGAGAGGGAGCCUGAGAAACGGCUACCACAUCUAAGGAAGGCAGCAGG